UCAUAAGUAAAAGUGGGAUGAAUAUAG
RNAcentral lists this small RNA (27 nucleotides) under Bombyx mori (domestic silkworm). Its description in RNAcentral is "ovarian small RNA-25877". Lineage: Eukaryota; Metazoa; Arthropoda; Insecta; Lepidoptera; Bombycidae. The record is from RNAcentral.